AGUGAACGCUGGCGGCGUGCUUAACACAUGCAAGUCGAACGAGAACGGAGUAUAGCUUGCUAUAAUUGUCAGCUAAGUGGCGCACGGGCGAGUAAUGUAUAGGUAAUAUGCCUCUUACUAAGGGAUAACAACUGGAAACGUUUGCUAAUACCUUAUACUCCUUAUUAACAGAAGUUAAUAAUGGAGAGAUUUAUUGGUAAGAGAUUAGCCUUUAUUGUAUCAGUUAGUUGGUGGGGUAAUGGCUUACCAAGACUAUGACACAUAAAUGGUUUGAGAGGAUGAUCAGUCACACUGGAACUGAGACACGGUCCAGACUCCUACGGGAGGCAGCAGUGGGGAAUAUUGCACAAUGGACGAAAGUCUGAUGCAGCAACGCCGCGUGGAGGAUGAAACAUUUCGGUGCGUAAACUCCUUUUAUAUAAGAAGAUAAUGACGGUAUUAUAUGAAGAAGCACCGGCUAACUACGUGCCAGCAGCCGCGGUAA
Molecule: ribosomal RNA, 484 nt
Filed under: uncultured bacterium
Lineage: Bacteria
Description: partial 16S ribosomal RNA
Rfam family: Bacterial small subunit ribosomal RNA
Source: RNAcentral